GAUUGGGGGGCAUGGGUAUGGGGAACUUUUGGGAUAGCAUUGGAAAUGUAAACGAGGAAAAUACCUAAUAAAAAAAGAGGAAAAAAAAAGAAUUUAGAUUGCAAACUAUUAAAGAAUAGAUCAAAGAAAAUUAUAGGUUGUCUGUCUUUAACCAAAGGGAACACAAUACAAUAAAGCCUCUCCUAGAGUCUUCUGGUACCCAAGGGCCUAUAAAAUAGCCAGCUUUUCAAAAUGGUUGUUAAGAUCCUGUUGCUAAAGGCAAUGCUUACUCUUUCAUUGAACACAGAGAAGUCCAGGUGGUGCCUAACUAAAAAUUUCAUCCAUACUCGUAUUCAUGAAAGAUACCAUUGGAAGACAGCUUGCUGAAUGAUGCUCUGCAGGCUAUGGAGGAGAAAGGUAAUCAUUGCUCAGGUACAAACCCUGUAGUCUACAACAGUGACCGGCCUAUAAGGUCACUGGUGCAGCUGUGGCACAACUGGUAUGGGAGUAGCCAGUCACUUUUUUGUUGGAUUUAAGGCCCAUUUUAUGAGAUGGAACUCAUAACUGACCGCUAAAGUGGCCAACAGCCUGAGACCAAUAGGUCUUUGGCCUAGGGGAAAACUUGACUCCUUUUGAUAUACUUUUAUACCAAUAGAUCAGUGCUUUGCUUAGCUCACAUCAGAGAUGGAAAAUAAUUUAGAGACCUGCAAAUGGACAAUAUGCAGAAAGUCAGAGUCUGGAUUUCUAAAUGGGAUGUCUUUAUAAAACCUUGCCGUCACUGCUCAGGGAACUAUACAGGCAGAAGAAGAGGCAGAAAAUUUUAAUAGCCAGAGUGAUGAAUGACUCCAAGGAAACUGUUUUCACGCAUAACAGGUAAUGCAAAUAUGAACUCAUAGGGACUCAGGUUCAAGUCACAUGAAGUCCUUGCACUUUGAAGGGGAAGUAGACCUAGGGUCCCACCUCUAACCAAAAAGUCAUUUGCAAUUGAUACCCACUUGCAAAGGAAAUUCAUUUUUCUCCAGUGGAGUGCUUUCAAAUGUUAGUGUGGUUGUAAAUGAGGACUUUUACCAGUUUAAUUAUUAUAAAACACUAUUUCUUGGUAUAUUCUUAAUAUAUGUCUAGCUUAUUUCUGUGUUGAGCAUGUAAUCCAUAAAAUGCAAAAGAUAAAAAAUAAGUGUGUGUGUCAGAUUUUUAUUUAUUUAGAAAAGGAUUAUGAUUAUCACAAGAAGGGGAUAUAUAAUAUACCAACCAUCAUAUCCAUUCAAAAAAUGCAGUUUUUCAUAAUGAAAUUUAUUUGGUUAAUUUUAUUGUUAAUAGAUUGUCCAUUUAUUUUGUGUUGUUAUUCUAUGGCUAAGAGUUGUAUACUUCUUUGAAUUUUCCAUUCAUAUUAGAAUACAUAACUAAUUAUGAUACAUGGCACAGUAGUGGGCUGAGAAUCCUUCUUUGAUAAGAUAUUACUAUGUAGCCCAGGCUGGUCUAUUUGUGAUCUUUCUGUCUUAGCAUUCUGAAUGUCUGGAUGACAGGUGUGUAACAUCAUCCCUGGACUCAGUGGGUCAGUAAAUGUGAUAUCUUAGCAAAAUAAGUCUGCUAAACUGAUGGAAUAUGCAUAUUUUGGUCCCAUCAUUUCUUAUUGUGUUGCUUAAUUUAGGUGUCCUAUUCAUAUUAAAGAUAGUGUUUAGCAGAAAGUAACUAAUGAGAUUUGAUGCUGUGUUUGUCCUUGGGAAAUUAAAUAACUUUAGUUAUUUGUUCUACAUGGUAAUCAGAUAUUCUUGAAUGAGUAUAUUACUUGGACCCACUGGGAUAAUUCUGUAAAACAGUUAAUUCUAUAUUAUUUGUGAGACAUUAUAAAUCCAAACCACAGCAGAUAGUAUGUGUGAAUGUAUAUUUAUGUGAGUAUGUUUAUGUUUACAUAUGUGAAUAUACUUUCCUACUAUCAAUUUUGACUGCAUCGUUUGCAUGGUAUGAUUUUCUAAGUUGACAGUUGCUUGUGGCCCUUUUCUGAUGUGCUUUGUAUGUGAAUAGACAUGUUUGUUAAGCUUAUGAAAUAUGUCUUUUACUUUUUAAACUUUUAAAAACUGUUUAAAAACUGCUUUCGUUUUGUGAAAAUAGUUGGUGUUUGUAUUCAGAUGAUUGUGAUUGUGGUGAAAUGACUACUAGAACAUGCUCCUUAAAGAGUGUAUGAUGUUCAAAGUUGCCAAGGAAUUACUGCUGUUAGGGUAUGGGAAUCUAAUGUGAAUUUAUUAUUGUCUGAGAAGGCCUUUGAGCAUUAAUUUUGUCGUUGUGGAAAGAUCUAAGUUGAAAGGACAAAGAUAGUAUUAACUUAAUGUUGGAAAAUAAAACUUAGUUCUUGUUUUGUUUUUGCCUCUAAACUUUAAAAAAAUUAACAUGCUCAUAAAUUUGAUUAUUGUAUAUUUUAAUUGAAAAUGUGGGUUUCAACCCCAAUUCUCCCAUUACUUAACUGUAUUACCUUGGGAAAAUUCCUACUGACUUUAAUUUCUUCACAUUAUAAGUAGCAGAAUCGAAUUUCUAGUUUGUCAGUGAAACUCUAUUCACUUUUAAAACUCAGUGACAAGCAUUUUAUGAUCCUUUGUUUUUCUUCCUUUAGCUUAAGGUUAUUAUUUAAUUUACCCUUUCUGCAUAGCCAUACAUCAUUUAAUGGCAGAGAUACAUUCUAAGAGCAUACUAUACAAACUUAGAUUGUAUAGCCAACCACUGAUAUGCAUUUUUGAUGCUUCACAAGAAGAGGUAAAUAUGAGAAAUAUGAGGCUGUUCCUGGUGUAACAUGCAAACAGUAAGAAACUGUUUUAUUGUAAACUUAAAAAUAUAGCUAGAAAGAAUAUGUGCUAAAAUUAAAAAGUAUAGUAAAAGAUAUAUAUGAGUCGAUAAAGUCUUUUGAAAUCAAGUAUGAUGAUACUAAAUAUAAUUGUAUAUAAGAUACUUUUACAUGAUUGGCAGUAUCAGAAGCUUAUUCAAAUCAUUAUCACAAAUUACUACAUUGGUAAUUUGUUGUGCCAUUUUGAGAGUACAACAGCUAUGAUAGCAGUAGGCAAUAGGAAGGAUUUUGGCUCCAUUGUAAUAUUAUAGGAUCACUAUUAUAUAUGUGGUCCAUAACAAGAUCAGACAUCAUUAUGUAGAAUUUGACUACAUAAAAAUUUACUUUUUAUAUAGUUUAAAAUAAAUGGAAUCUUGUUGACUAUACUGCAUCAUAAAAAUCAGUGAACUACGUUAUUCUAGCCUAGUGUAGAGUAGACAUAGUAAAAUAUGUACUUUUAUGUUUUGGGGUAGUGUGUUAGCUUUCUGUUACAUUGGUGACAUACUAAAUUAGUCUAGAAGGGGAAAGUUUUAUUUUGGAUCAAGAUUUCAGAGAUUCAUGUUCACUAGAUGGGUAUGAAAAGAUUGAAUCAUAUAGUUUUAAUGGAACUAUACCAAUACCCUUAUACAUGAUUUGUAAGUAAGACUUAUGUUUGAUAAAGGGAGAAAGAGUAGAUGGUCCUAGUUAGCUGUUCAGUUCUGGUUUCUGUUCUUCUCUUUUAGUUAACAAUGAAAAAUUCACUGAAAUUCCCCCUAUAUUCAUUGUAUUCCUAGUAGGGUUCCAGAAAAAAGAAGGUAAAAAUAUACAACUUCCUGUGUGUGCAGCUUCUAAAAUUUCACACUCUUUAAUAGCCUUUAGCACUAUGUUAAAAAUUACUAAUUUAUUUUUAUUUUUGGUAGUUUUUAUAGAGUUCAGAUGCAUCUGUCCCUAGGUUUGGAAAGGCUCUAUUUUUUUUUUUUUUUUUUAAGUAUAGGUGCUUGCUAUUCUAUAUGUUUCAUGUUUUGUUGCUUGACUUAAAUUCUCUAUUUGGCUCAGAAAAAGUAAUUAAUUAAAAUUUUACAAUGUUCUUGUCAUAAUGGUGGGAGUAAGGCUCUUUCCAACUCUUUAUGUAUUCAGCCUUAAAAAAGAAAGUCAUUUACCUUAAAAAUGCUUUCAUUUUAAAGAUAAUUAUAUAUAUUCUGUAUUUGAUUUUGUUUUGUUUUGUUUCUAUUAGUUAUAUUUCCCUCUUUAAAACUAUAGUAAUCUUGUGGUAAUUAUCAUGCAAACAUAAGGACCAGAGUUUGAUCUCUAGCUCCCACUUAAAAAUAAAACAAAACCAAAAUCAAACAAAAAAACCCAAACCAAUCCCACAAACUAGUAUGUGCUUUUAAUCUCAGUGCUGGGGAGGUAGAGAAAAGAGGAUCCCUGAGGUGCAGUGGCCAGUCUUUGUAGCUGAAUUGGUGAACUUCAGGUUUAGUAAGCGACCCACUCUCAAGAGAAAGAUGGAAGAGUUGGGUAUGUGGCUUAGCAGUUAAAGUGUUUUCUAUGCAAACAUAAGGAAUUAGGCUCACCUACAUAAAAGCUGGUGGAGGCCAAUCCAUGAUGAUAGCUCACAGGAGGCAGAAACAAAGAAUUCCUGGAGCAAGUUGGCUAGACAGUCUAGCUAAAUAUGGUGAACUCCAGAUUCAGAAGACACCUUGCUUCAAUAUAUAAGGUAGAACUAGAUCAAGGGCCACAGUAUCUAAACAGUAUCAUCAGGUGCAUGUGCACCUAUCUAUGUGUACUUAACACACAUGUGAAUCCCCACCCCUACCCCCCAGGACAAAAGUAGAGAGCAGGUGAAGAACACAUUUGACCAACUGGAACUUUACAGGUGCAGCUUUUCAAGAACCUCAGUUUAAUAUAAUUUUCAGUAUUCGCUCCUGCUCUGGUUGGUUAGGACUUCUAUGUCAUGUAACAGUUUAUAAUUUAUGAAAUAUCGAUUUAAAGGCAUGCUGAUCUUAAAAAUUAUAACUUGUAUAUGUGCAGCUUAGAAUUCACCAAAACCUUAUGUCCCUUUGCAGGUUCUAAAGUGCUUUCCUUUCCUAAAGGACUACCUUCCUUUUGGUGAUCUGUUCUGUAAAUUCCAUUGUUUCCACUUUCCUAAGUUCUGUCCUCAUCUAUACUUCCUUGAGCCUGCUAUGUUAUGUUUGGACUCUUUCUCCCUGUGAAGUAGUAUGGAAUAUGCCUCCAGGUAGGAAGACAUAGGCAAGCAUAUGGUGUUUCUUUUCCUAUUGGCUUGUAGCCCCAGGCUGUCUUCUGGUCACUAUAAGG
Molecule: long non-coding RNA, 5083 nt
Filed under: Mus musculus (house mouse)
Lineage: Eukaryota; Metazoa; Chordata; Mammalia; Rodentia; Muridae
Description: long non-coding RNA chr12:78261292-78266375
Source: RNAcentral